RNA transcript from Tachysurus fulvidraco (yellow catfish), 2312 nucleotides. It is a transcript of the gene named zinc finger protein 771-like, with no coding region annotated. The record is from RefSeq and is a predicted model, not a curated record. The transcript is spliced from 5 exons. NCBI's taxonomy places the organism in Eukaryota, Metazoa, Chordata, Actinopteri, Siluriformes, Bagridae.
UCCGUACAGUUUACAGUUUGUCCACUGGAUGGCGACAGCAGCUUUUCAUCGAAAAAAAAGACGACAAAGAAGAAGGGGAAGAAGGCUUGGCGUUGAUUAGACAAAGCUAAUAUUAAUGGUAUAUGACAUACUAAUCUAAUCGAGCAUAACUGACACAGGACUGUCCAUAGAGCUGGAGCUGUUUGCUAACUCUCUCUCGUUGUUUUGGGCUUUUGGACUGUGAGAUUAUGGACGUGAUCAGGUGUUUACGUUCUCUUCUGGACCUCCAUGUUCAGCUGCAGAGAGCUGUAGCCCUUCAAGGAGAAAUCCAGGCCCAAUUUCUUGCUCAGCUUUUACAUCCAGACAACGUAAGCCCUCGGCAGCUGCCUCUUCCACAGCUGGACUUAACCGGGGACGAUUUGGAGCUUUCGCUGUCUGUCUUUGAACGUGCCCUGGAUGACAGCAAACUCCCAAUGAAGCAGUGGGGUUCGAGGCUAGCACAGCUCCUCUGUGUGAAGACAUCAGAUGAGGAUGAUCAUGAGCUGAGUUAUGAAGCUGUAAAAUUAGAUGUCAGGAGGCAGGCAUGUUCACUGGAGUAUCAGAGGUGGAGGGACUUUAACAAAGUCCAGUAUGAUCCUCAUAAGGGGGUGCGGGAGCUGAAAUUUGGGGUGGAGGAAGCAGCAAAGAAAUGGCUCCAGCCUGAAAGGUGCAGCUCUGAGGAAGUGGUGAGAAAAGUGGCCCUGCAGAAGUUCCUCUCCCUUCUUCCACCAGAUGCGAUUGACAAGACAAACGAGGAGCAGCCGCAGAACAUGGAGGAGGCUGCCGUCAUAGCGGCAUCCUUGCUAGAAAAUGACAGGGAUGAAUGGAACAGAGACGGGGAGAGACAUGACGAAUCACAGACUGAUCAUGGCUACUCAAGGGAUCAUAUCAUCUCAAAUGAGCAGAAGAAGCUGGACUCGGAGACAGUUUUCCCAUCUGAGAGCCACAGCCUGGAAGUUACUGUUGGAGAUGAGCAUUUUGAAGAGAAGGAACUUUCUGAAGCUAUGCUUUCCCCAUCGAUGGUUGACAUAAAGCCAAUACUAAAUGCUGAAGACAUGCCUUCCAUUAGAAAUGAUUCUCAAGUUCUGCUUCACAGACCCUGCUAUAGUGGCGAAUCUAUGAAGUCUUCACCAAGGCGAGCUAAUAAGAAUGGGAACAUAAGCACAGGACCGAAAUUAAAGCGCGCACUUGAGUGUACAGACUGUGGUAGCAAGUUCAAGAGGUUUGACUACCUAAGAAAGCACACAUGUACUCCUGGGCAAAGUCUGGGGUGCCAACACUGCGAUCUGCGCUUCCCCUCCCUCUCUCAGUUAACUAACCACCUGCGUGUGCAUCGGAAAAUGUUACACUGUCCUGAGUGCAACAAGGCUUUCAGAGACCGCUUUAACCUCCGCUGCCACCAGCGCACACACACAGGUGAAAGGCCUCAUAUCUGUGCUGACUGCGGCUCUGCGUUUGCACAGGAGCGUGGGCUACAGGAGCACCGCAACAUCCACACCGGCGAGAGACCCUUCCAGUGCCCAGUGUGCAGGAAAGGCUUCAGCCACAGCCGCACGCUUGCCAAACACGUGGUUGUCCACUCAGAAGCAAGGCCUUAUAUGUGCUCUGACUGUGGCAGAGCUUUUAAGAUUAAAGACAACCUGCAUCAGCAUCAAAAGAAAAUGCAUCCCAGCAAAUACUUGUGAACAGACCCUAUAGCUCAAACACUACUGAAUGAGUCAUGCAAUUUACAACAGAAAAGUGGUACAAUAUACACGUUAUAAUGCCAGAGAUGUUUCCGCACAGACAGCCUUUAAAAAUGGCUUUAACAAAAGAACAUUGAAAGCAUUCUCCUGGCUGGAUCGGGAAGCUAUCACAAGAUUUCGAUGGACUUUAACAAGAAACAUUUGACCCUGUUGCCAAACUUGGAUCUAAACUUGGGAGAGAUGCCACUGUGUGUGUGUUUACAAAAAUCAUGUAGAGGCUGUUUUGUUAAUAAAGAUUCAAUUUGCUAUAAAGAGUUCAUUUCACUUAUGGAGACUUCUGUUACACACUUCUGUUAUAGUUUUGUGUUUCAGUUAUGAAGCUGUGGCAGUGUAUCAUUGUGUUUAUUUGGGCAUGCGCUUAAAAUGCAAGCAUCCGUUCAGAAGAUUAUUCAACUCAAAUGUAAGAUUCAUAAGAAUAUUCUGUGCUGUUUGGUGACUUUCACUAGAUUAACAGUAAACCUGACCCCGAGUGAGUGCAUUUUGAAGCAAAUCGUCAUGGUCAGACACCACGGUGUUAUUUAGUAAGUUAUUUAAAGGUAUAAAUGCUGA